UUCGGGAGAAGGGGGACCACUGCUGGUGACGACUCUUUGCGGUUUGAGCUGGUGGUGGUCGCAGAGACCAGAGAGAAGCGACUGUUUACUAAAAACACAGGUCCGUGCGAAGUCGUAAGACGAUGUAUACGGACUGACGCCUCCCCGGUGCUGGAAGGUUAAGAGGACCGGUUAAUCACCUUUGGGUGGUGACGCUGAGAAUUUAAGCCCCAGUAAACGGCGGUGGUAACUAUAACCAUCCUAAGGUAGCGAAAUUCCUUGUCGGGUAAGUUCCGACCUGCACGAAUGGCGUAACGACUUCUCUGCUGUCUCAACCACAGACUCGGCGAAAUUGCAUUACGAGUAAAGAUGCUCGUUACGCGCGGCAGGACGAAAAGACCCCGGGACCUUCACUAUAGCUUGGUAUUGGUGUUCGGUUCGGUUUGUGUAGGAUAGGUGGGAGACUGUGAAACCGUCACGCUAGUGGUGGUGGAGUCGUUGUUGAAAUACCACUCUGAUCGUAUUGGACUUCUAACCUCGGGCCAUGAUCUGGUUCAGGGACAGUGCCUGGUGGGUAGUUUAACUGGGGCGGUUGCCUCCUAAAAUGUAACGGAGGCGCCCAAAGGUUCCCUCAGCCUGGUUGGCAAUCAGGUGUUGAGUGUAAGUGCACAAGGGAGCUUGACUGUGAGACGUACAUGUCGAGCAGGGACGAAAGUCGGGACUAGUGAUCCGGCACCGGCAUGUGGAAGCGGUGUCGCUCAACGGAUAAAAGGUACCCCGGGGAUAACAGGCUGAUCUUCCCCAAGAGUCCAUAUCGACGGGAUGGUUUGGCACCUCGAUGUCGGCUCGUCGCAUCCUGGGGCUGGAGUAGGUCCCAAGGGUUGGGCUGUUCGCCCAUUAAAGCGGCACGCGAGCUGGGUUUAGAACGUCGUGAGACAGUUCGGUCUCUAUCCGCCGCGCGCGUAAGAAACUUGAGGAAACCUGUCCCUAGUACGAGAGGACCGGGACGGACGGACCUCUGGUGUGCCAGUUGUACCGCCAGGUGCACUGCUGGUUGGCUACGUUCGGAAGGGAUAACCGCUGAAAGCAUCUAAGCGGGAAGCCUGUUCCAAGAUGAGGUUUCUCACCCCCUAGCGGGGUUAAGGCCCCCCACAGACCAUGGGGUUGAUAGGCCAGAACUGUACGCACCGUGAGGUGUUCAGGUGACUGGUACUAAUCGGCCGAGGACCUAA
This 1211-nucleotide ribosomal RNA is filed under the name metagenome. RNAcentral's name for it is "bacterial LSU rRNA". It matches the Rfam family "Bacterial large subunit ribosomal RNA", at positions 1735 to 2925 of the family's 2925-position model. The record is from RNAcentral.